GACGAACGCUGGCGGCGUGCUUAACACAUGCAAGUCGAACGGUAAGGCCCUUCGGGGUACACGAGUGGCGAAAGGGUGAGUAACACGUGGGUGAUCUGCCCUGCACUUCGGGAUAAGCCUGGGGAACUGGGUCUAAUACCGGAUAGGACCACUGCCUGCCUGGGCGGUGGGGGUAAGCGUUUGCGGUGUGGGAUGGGCCCGCGGCCUACCAGCUUGUUGGUGGGGUGAUGGCCUACCAAGGCGACGCCGGGUAGCCGGCCUGAGAGGGUGACCGGCCACACUGGGCCUGAGAUACGGCCCAGACUCCUACGGGAGGCAGCAGUGGGGAAUAUUGCACAAUGGGCGCAAGCCUGAUGCAGCGACGCCGCGUGAGGGAUGACGGCCUUCGGGUUGUAAACCUCUUUCAGCACCGACGAAGCGCAAGUGACGGUAGGUGCAGAAGAAGGACCGGCCAACCACGUGCCAGCCGCCGCAGUAA
Molecule: ribosomal RNA, 478 nt
Filed under: uncultured bacterium
Lineage: Bacteria
Description: partial 16S ribosomal RNA
Rfam family: Bacterial small subunit ribosomal RNA
Source: RNAcentral